CUUUCACUUUUACCCAAAAUGACUGAAAAGGGCAAAAAUAUUUUAGAUCUAAUUUUUUCUGAUUUUUUUCUUCACCGUUUCUUAUCACCUUUACAGGGUUUCCAAUAAGAAAGUAACACAAUUUAAGUAUUAAAUUGAAACCUUUCUUCAACCAGAUUUUAAUAGAAACCAGCUCUUCAAUUCAUCGAAACAUAUUUUUGAUUUUGGUCGCGAGAGAAGUCCAGUUAAUAAGUGAUAUUUUGUAUUGUGAACCUUAUUUUUUAAUUUUUGUGCUUUCUGGUAAUGGUUCGAUUUACUGUUCAAAGGACUGUUUUUGUGAAGUCAUUGAGAUGGCAAUAAAUUAUGAAUCGGCGACAUUACCAUAAGACGUUUUUCCGUUUCCUUGUCUUCUAAUUACAAUUUCCCGGUUCCUCUUCAUUUUAAUCAACUAUCAAUAUGUUGGCUAUUUGCUGUCAAUUGGAAGAUAUUGACGAUUCGGUCAAAAUCGGCUUUGAAAUACUCAUCACAUUCACCGUCUUAUCCAUCAAUCUCAACAAAAUCGCCAGGCUUUUAGUGUGUGUAUUUGCUGAUUUACCAUGUACUUGACCAUUGUUAUCAUGGCUAUUUUGAUUAGAUUAGGAUGGUCAUUUAACUUUAAAAUCAUCAUUUAUUUUGUUUGAUUUUCUACAGCUUUCAAUAACAUUGGUUUGAGAGGUGAGUUGGAAACGGAAAACAAUUGAACAUGAUUUUUGAAUAUCUGCUGAAAUGGCGCUGUUGGUGUAAAAGUGGAACAAAACAAGAUUCUGAAGGACAUUAGAUACUCUGUUGAUUACCUUUCAUUUUAAUUACACUGUUUUAACGUGCAGUUGAUCAACAAUCAACUUAGGCUUUUUACUGGUUGAGUACUUGUCUAUGAAUCACACAAUGACAAAAAGAUGAAAGAGUAAGUUGAAAACAAAAUAAGAUGAUCAGCAAACUAACGAUAGUUUACUAAUUGAUUUUUAAUCAAACAGCUUACACACAAAUGAUAAAAUUAUGAACCUUGAGAAUCAACUUAAAUUGUCAUUAAAACAUUUGUACAAUUGUGUAAUUUUGUAAUUAAUUUACACUCGUAAAUAUCUCUAUCCUUUCAUUUUCUGGUUGCUUUUCUGGUUUCUGGUUUUCAACCAUUUCAUUUGAUUGUUGUUUUUUCAUUGUUUUUCAUUUCUUUGAUCAUCAUCUUGUACAGUCAAUGCAUCAUCGCAUUGACAUGCAAGGUUAAUUGUGUGUAAUGGACUUAAUUAUUGUGAAAAUGAUGAUUAUAAUUGAAGUCAAGAAAACCAGAAAAUCAGAAAAUCAGAAAAGGUGAAAAACUUCGAAGCCAAUAUCUCAAUGAGAACUUGAAUUUCAAUUGUGUUUCCAUGUUGACUUUAAAUGACUUCAAUUUUGAUUCAGUUUGAUGAUUGAGCUGCUAGAGCAAAAUUAAACAGUAAAACGAUUAAAUAUUUACUAAAUAAAAAGACAAUUGUAACCAAAUCAGCAAAUUUAAUGAUUACAUUAACAUUGAUCUCUUCCAUAUGAAUCUGUAUUUGAAUAACAAACGUUUCAUUAACUUAUUUUUUGCUUCGACCCAAUUUGUAUUGUUAAUGUAGUGAAUAAAUUACCUGAAUAAGGUUGCGCUUUAAAUUUGUAAAUCAACAAUCAACAGAUUGAAAGCUCAUGAUGAGCUGUUGAUUACAAUCUAAUUAUCUACUGUUAUUCACCAAUUCAAAGUGUCUACCUAAACUGACCAACAAUCAAAAAAGGUUGAAAGCUGAAAAAGGCAAACAAAGAUCAAAGUAAACUGUAAAAACCAGAAAAGUCAACCAAGCAAAAUUUCCGGUCACAUUGAUGACCAGAAUUGGUUUAGUGGCUAUUUUUCAAAUAACCGUGUCCAUGAACUUGGUUAACCUAAUAAUAAUUAGACUGAAGAAGAGUCCACUAUAAUAAUACAAAAAAUGGUCAUUUGAUGGAUUCGUUACAAUUGGAUUGUGGUUUCUUCCCAACAAGAGUCACCAUUUGUAUCAUUGUUUCAACAUUGAAUAACCUUUUGCCUGAUGAUUAUGAUUAUUUUUAUUGUUGUUGUUUCUGUAAUGUUAAUUUUAUACAAUCAGAUGGUCGGCAGAUAAUAAAAUGAAACAUUUGUUUUCAUGGAAACCUUGAUUGAAUUAUUUUGGUUUCGGUCUUUUGAUCAACUUUCACUUGAUUACCUUCAAAUUUUUAGUAGCUUGUAAGAUUGUUCAAGUGUAGGUUUAAUGUAAUGGGAAAUCGCCCAACAUUGCCUUGUUAAUAUUAACUUUAAUCGUUUCUCAUCAACAUCAUCAUCAACCUGAUCACCAUCAUCAUCUUCAUCUUAAUUUCUCUAUGUUUUUAAAUCAUCUCAUUAACCAUUUUCACUUCACGUGUCAAUGAUAUAAACUGUUCAAGAGAGGAACCAAACCUACGCAAGUAAAAAGCUAAUAUUUUUGGUUGCUCUUGGAUAUUUUAAAAGGUUUAUUAGAGUGACUUUUGACACUAACCAAUCAACAUGUAAAAUUUACCAGAAAAUCAAUCAAAAAAUCAACACUGUUAUUAUUAAAGCAAGAUAAAUUAACUGCAAUUAAAUUCAUGUCUUUUUCAAACUACAAGUUUGAAACAUUUUGCACUUUCAUGAUGGAGUAAACAAACUGUUUCACUUUUGAUAUUUGCUCAUCCAAAGAUGUUUCACUCUUAAAUACAUAAUUAAUCAAUCACUCAAUUAGGUUGAGAUGUAAUUGCGAAAUGAAAUUUCCUGUGAAUUUGUAGAAAUUUUGAAAUUUUGAGAAAUAUCAUGAACAAUCGCAAUGCGAGUAAAUGAAAACAAUGACUUCAAUUUUGUUAUGGAAAUUUUUCUUCUCAAACUGAAAUGAUUGUAACCAAUUGUAACAAUACAAGACAAGCUUUAUUAAACACUUUUUUCAUGAUAUUAUCCUCAACCCAAACCUAGCAUGUCAAGCACGUCCUUUAAAUUGUCCAUUACUUGCGGGACUCAACACUUGAUAAUCGAGAAGUAAAUACAGAGCAAAUCCAAUGGGAAAUUGCGGUUGGACAAUGGGAUUGAGAAAAGUCCUUUAAAGGUGAUUUCCAAUCAAGGCUUAAUCAAGCCUGUUGGCAAUUAAUCAAGGAAGAAUGAUCUAGCAUAAACCUUUAAUUGAAUACAAUUUGCUUUUUAAUGUCUUCUCAUUGAUUCAAUUUGUUUUAAAAUCAAUCAAAGCCGUCAAUCAAUUUGAUAGUCGCCCAUGUUUGUGAUGCCAUCUUUUGUCUUUGUUUUCCUUCUUGUCCUUGGUUUUAUCUUUAAUUGUAAUUAUGAUAACUAUCCAUCCCGGGCUAAUUAGCUAACGUAACUGUUUAUUUGUAUUAUCAAUGUUCGGUGAACCACGAUGAUUUCAGUAGCUAUAAUUGGUGAUUUUUGAGGUUUUGAUCACUAGAUCUAUGGUUUUGCAUAUACAGUAAACCCAGACUUUUUCGAUAUUUUUGGAGGUACUCCAUCUAUUGAAAUAAUUCAUACUUUUCUUUUAGGCUGAUAGUUUUUCAUCGUCUUCUGUUUUUUUAUUGAGUCUUUUUGAUUGGUUAAAUUUAACUAAAGUUUUACUUAUAAAUGUAGAAUGAUCUUUAUUCAAAUAUCCUUAAUCAUUUUGCAUAGUGUGCUUGAACUGUAUUGAAUUCACUUAUAUCCAUGUACUAACUUUUAAUUUGUGCAAAGACACUGAGCUUUAUUCAAUUGUUAGAAAAUGUAUUACAAGGUCUCAAGAUCGUGGAUUAAUGUUUGUUGGCCUACAAGAAAUUACCAGUUCUUCAGCUAGAUCUCAAGAUAAGUUACAACAGUAGAGACAUCAACUCAAACUAGAAUUUUAUGAUAGUUCAUUUAUUUCGCUAUUGAUUACUCGCGGUGGCCCACCGCUAUGUGACAUGCCACAGCAUGAUCAAAGCUAUCAUGCAUAGCGAUGGAAUAGGGUUUAUCAACAUUCAUGGCUCCCCUAGCCUGGACAACAAUUUUUUUAAAAUGAAAUUACGAAUCCCCUUAGAAAAGCAUACAUGCAUUUUUCUAGAAAAAACGCAAUGGAUUGCCGAGAUCGAAAAUGUAGCAGCUAGUUUCAUCUAGAAGGUGGUGAUUAUCCAUCGAAUCAAGUCGAAUUCACUUUGUUAACAAAUUUGUAAAUAUUACAUUUUUUAAAUUUUGUUCACUUUUAAUAAACUCAUGAAACAUCACCUUCUGCUCUUCUUGUCCAUCGAUGAUGACGAUAAAUCUAAACUAAGAAAUGAUCCAAACACAUGAAACAUAAUAUGAAAUAAAUAAAGUAACCUUUAUUCAUAAAUGAAUUAUAAACUCAGGAACUCACUUUUUUAAGUGUGUACACGUUCUCAAUGGGUCCUUAAUCGAUAGAAGUUUGAGACACUGCACUUAUUUAUAAGAAUACUCGAAACACAGUAAGAGAUGAUCUCUUAUCACAUAAACAACAACAUAAAACUGAGUUUUUUUCAAAAAUUUAAGAUAGUUCAUCAUUCAAAUUCAAUUGGUAAAUUUCCACAAUUGCUUCUUCCGAGGCCUCAGCUGGGUGGCAGCAUAACCAGGAUUGAAUUCACAAAUAAAUUCGAUAGAUUAAGACCGAUUUUUCUUGGCUUUUCUUGAUAAUACUCUAUAUUGAUUUUUAUAUUCAUCAUAAUGAAUUUCGCUGAUUUCGAGUGAAAUCCCAAUGAAGUUGAGCUCGUCUUUGAAUUCCCCGAACUUUUCCAUAACAACUUUACACGAUCCCUACAGAACAAGAGAUUUAAAUUUUUCAAAAGUGUAUUCUGAUAUAUUAGAGGACAGGACGACAUAAUCUAUGUCUCCUGCAUAUCGCUCGAAUGUGUUAAGUUUCAAAGUAGAUAAAUUUAUCAUUUUCUUUCUUUUGCUUGAAAAGUCUUAUUGUUUGGACCAACACAGAUGAGAUUCUUUCUGAAAUCUCCGUGUGAAAAUUUUAUAUUAUAAUAAUCAACUAUUUUCCUUGCAUCUUGAUUUUCGUAAAGUCUGAACUCCUGACAUAAAUGAUCAUUGGCAAUAUAUGCAGAGUAAACUUCUAAGAAAAUAAAUAGAAUGAAAAUAAUAUAAUAAUAUGCAAUCUUACAUGGUUUGAUUUCAUCAUUUGGUUGUCUAUCAUGUCUAUACCAAAGAAUAACUGCUCGACAGAAUUUGGAUAUGCGUUCGGCAACGAUGGGUUGAUUAUCGACAACAGAGCUAUCACGAUAAAUGGGUAAAAAUUUUACAACAAUGCUUGCAAGUUGGAAUUUGAAAAUCUUAAUUCAUCUGCUUUUACAUUGAUUUCAUCUCCAUGGAACAUGUCUUUAAUGGCCACAAAAACUGAGAAAGAAACGGUGUCGAGGAUUAAACCCCUUUUGACCUCAGCGCCAGAGGUGAGUAGUGGGGCGAACAAUGUCGCGACAGAGGAAAAUAGAUUUUUAUCCAUCUCAAACCAUCCUCCCAAGUGAUGGGCGACGAUAACAUUGGCAUCACUUUCAGAUUCAAGAUGCACUGACAUAGUGCGUAGAAAUACUUGUCGGACAAUAUUUUUGAAAGAACAAUAAAAACAAUUAAAAAUCAAAUAUGAACAAAAUUAUGAAUUUGAUGGAAAUAUUUGAAAAAAUAAGACUUCAACUGGAAAUAAAUCUUUAGAGAAAAAGAAGAAUGGAAAGCGAACAAAACUAGUUAUCUAUUCAAACUCUAAAUUGAAAUGAACAGCUUGAUUGGAUUUUCGGCAUAAAUCAUUGGUAAGCCAAAAGAUUGUGGUCAUAAUGUGGAUCUUGUCUCCUCUUAUGUCUUCAGCCCCUGUUUUAAUCGUAAUUUAUCAUCAUCAUCUGAUAAACCGUAAGCCUUAGUUAGCCGAUCUCCCCUUAUAUUACACUUGAAAAUAUCCUUUGGUAUUUAUAAUGGAAUAUCAAUCAAGAAGCGAAGUGAAGCUCGCGGUGGCCCACCGCUAUUCGACAUGCCACAGCAUGAUCAAAGCUAUCAUGCAUAGCGAUAGGGUUUAUCAACACUGAAUGCUCCCCUAACAUAGACAACGCUUCUAUCCACAGUCUUGGUUCUGUGUACAGUCUGUUCUUAAUCUUUAACAAGAUCUAAUGUGUCGAUAGCGACCAAUAAAUCUUUAUAUCGAUUUCAUACUUUAGAAUGUUCCCUUGUGAGUCUUGAACCUACAGGUUUUUUCAACACAGGCCAAGUAUUUUGAUGAGGAAGAUGAUAAUCAGUAAGAGUGAAAUACCCGAAAAGUGAAGUUCUGAAUGUACUGCAAGGCACUGUAUGAUCGGUGAUUGUGAAAAGAUCUGAGUUCACAAUGAAAAACCUUGAUAAACAGCAGCAAUCAAGCAGCGAUGAAAAUUAUCAACGAAAUGUAUGCUAAACUACACUGAAAACUCUGACAUCUGCUAUCAUUUUAUUUAACUUAUUCGUUUUUGUUUAGAUUCUCGUGGUACUUUAAAAAGCGCGCCACAUAUCCAAGGUGAGGUUUAAAAAAAAAGAUCGUUGUGUGAUUUUUUUAUUUUUUGGUUUUUACUUCUUACUUUAUUAUACCCUUGUCAACCUAACUAACAAUAAACAUCAUCAACAUCUUUAUCACCAUUAUCACCAGCACCAUCAUAACCAUCAACAGUCCAACCGCCGCCACCAGCAAAGACACUAAAGUCAAUUGUGUUCUUGUACCUUCAACAUCAAAAUGAGCUUUGGAUUGAGACUUUCGAGACUGGUGAAAAACAUGUUUAAAUCGGAAAAGGCCAGAAAAGUUGAUCUCAUGAAAGAACAAUUGCUAAACGUACCUAAACCUAAACCUAAACGACAAGUUUUUGGACUGAAGAGUAAAGGAUUGAUUCCUUGGUAUUCAAUGAGCCACGAUGAUAUGUCAACAUUAUAUGCUUUUCUUAUAUGUUUAAUUCCAAUGUAUGCUGUUUUUGAAAAUUGUUUUUGGAGUGUUUACUAUGAUUUUAAACUUAGAAAGGAAAAAAAGAAAUACAUUAAGGAAUUAGAUGAAAGAGAAAGGUUGGCCGAAUUGAUAAGUGCUAAAAAAAAGAAUCUGAAUGUGGAUUAGAAUUUUUCUGCUACUCUUGUAACUAGAUUGUUAUUAAAUUUUAAAUUGUAGGAUUAUGUACAUACAAAAUAAAAUGCAGUAAAUAAAGAGUUUAUAAUAAA
This is a non-coding RNA of Tetranychus urticae (two-spotted spider mite), 7171 nucleotides long. The record is from RefSeq and is a predicted model, not a curated record. Lineage: Eukaryota; Metazoa; Arthropoda; Arachnida; Trombidiformes; Tetranychidae.